This 400-nucleotide ribosomal RNA is filed under the name uncultured bacterium. RNAcentral describes it as "bacterial SSU rRNA". It matches the Rfam family "Bacterial small subunit ribosomal RNA", at positions 30 to 430 of the family's 1533-position model. The record is from RNAcentral.
AUUGAACGCUGGCGGCAUGCUUUACACAUGCAAGUCGAACGGUAACAGGGUGCUUGCACCGCUGACGAGUGGCGAACGGGUGAGUAAUGCAUCGGAAUGUACCGUGUAAUGGGGGAUAGCUCGGCGAAAGCCGGAUUAAUACCGCAUACGCCCUGAGGGGGAAAGUGGGGGACCGAAAGGCCUCACGUUAUACGAGCAGCCGAUGUCUGAUUAGCUAGUUGGUGAGGUAAAGGCUCACCAAGGCGUCGAUCAGUAGCGGGUCUGAGAGGAUGAUCCGCCACACUGGGACUGAGACACGGCCCAGACUCCUACGGGAGGCAGCAGUGGGGAAUUUUGGACAAUGGGCGCAAGCCUGAUCCAGCCAUGCCGCGUGUCUGAAGAAGGCCUUCGGGUUGUAAGG